RNAcentral lists this ribosomal RNA (405 nucleotides) under uncultured rumen bacterium. RNAcentral's name for it is "bacterial SSU rRNA". It matches the Rfam family "Bacterial small subunit ribosomal RNA", at positions 354 to 776 of the family's 1533-position model. The record is from RNAcentral.
GUGGGGAAUAUUGCACAAUGGGGGAAACCCUGAUGCAGCGAUGCCGCGUGGAGGAAGAAGGUUUUCGGAUUGUAAACUCCUGUCUUAAAGGACGAUAAUGACGGUACUUUAGGAGGAAGCUCCGGCUAACUACGUGCCAGCAGCCGCGGUAAUACGUAGGGAGCGAGCGUUGUCCGGAAUUACUGGGUGUAAAGGGAGCGUAGGCGGGAUCGCAAGUCAGAUGUGAAAUACAUGGGCUUAACCCAUGGGCUGCAUUUGAAACUGCGGUUCUUGAGUGAAGUAGAGGUAAGCGGAAUUCCUGGUGUAGCGGUGAAAUGCGUAGAUAUCAGGAGGAACACCGGUGGCGAAGGCGGCUUACUGGGCUUUUACUGACGCUGAGGCUCGAAAGCGUGGGGAGCAAACAGG